UACUGAGUGGCAGACGGGUGAGUAACAUGUGGGAAUCUGCCUUGUGGUUCAGGACAACAUUGGGAAACCGAUGCUAAUACUGGAUAAGCCCUUACGGGGAAAGUUUUAAUGCCAUAAGAUGAGCCCGCAUUUGAUUAGUUAGUUGGUGAGGUAAUGGCUCACCAAGACAAUGAUCAAUAGCUGAUCUGAGAGGAUGAUCAGCCACACUGGGACUGAGACACGGCCCAGACUCCUACGGGAGGCAGCAGUGGGGAAUCUUGCACAAUGGAGGAAACUCUGAUGCAGCGAUGCCGCGUGAGUGAAGAAGGCCUUUGGGUUGUAAAGCUCUUUUGUAGGGGAAGAUAAUGACUGUACCCUAAGAAUAAGGUCCGGCUAACUUCGUGCCAGCAGCCGCGGUAAUACGAAGGGACCUAGCGUAGUUCGGAAUUACUGGGCGUAAAGCGCGCGUAGGCCGUUGAGUUAGUUAAUUGUGAAAUCCCAAAGCUUAACUUUGGAACUGCAAU
Molecule: ribosomal RNA, 503 nt
Filed under: uncultured Rickettsiales bacterium
Lineage: Bacteria; Pseudomonadati; Pseudomonadota; Alphaproteobacteria; Rickettsiales
Also listed under: 1 other name
Description: bacterial SSU rRNA
Rfam family: Bacterial small subunit ribosomal RNA
Source: RNAcentral